GGGUUGUGAGGUUAAGCGACUAAGCGUACACGGUGGAUGCCCUGGCAGUCAGAGGCGAUGAAGGGCGUGCUAAUCUGCGAUAAGCGCCGGUAAGGUGAUAUGAACCGUUAUAACCGGCGAUACCCGAAUGGGGAAACCCAGUGUGACUCGUCACACUAUCAUUAACUGAAUCCAUAGGUUAAUGAGGCGAACCGGGGGAACUGAAACAUCUAAGUACCCCGAGGAAAAGAAAUCAACCGAGAUUCCCCCAGUAGCGGCGAGCGAACGGGGAGGAGCCCAGAGCCUGAAUCAGCAUGUGUGUUAGUGGAAGCGUCUGGAAAGGCGCGCGAUACAGGGUGACAGCCCCGUACACAAAAGCGCAUGUGCUGUGAGCUCGAUGAGUAGGGCGGGACACGUGGUAUCCUGUCUGAAUAUGGGGGGACCAUCCUCCAAGGCUAAAUACUCCUGACUGACCGAUAGUGAACCAGUACCGUGAGGGAAAGGCGAAAAGAACCCCGGCGAGGGGAGUGAAAAAGAACCUGAAACCGUGUACGUACAAGCAGUGGGAGCACCCUUUGGGGUGUGACUGCGUACCUUUUGUAUAAUGGGUCAGCGACUUAUAUUCUGUAGCAAGGUUAACCGAAUAGGGGAGCCGGAGGGAAACCGAGUCUUAAUUGGGCGUUAAGUUGCAGGGUAUAGACCCGAAACCCGGUGAUCUAGCCAUGGGCAGGUUGAAGGUUGGGUAACACUAACUGGAGGACCGAACCGACUAAUGUUGAAAAAUUAGCGGAUGACCUGUGGCU
RNAcentral lists this ribosomal RNA (782 nucleotides) under Salmonella enterica subsp. enterica serovar Thompson. RNAcentral describes it as "bacterial LSU rRNA". It matches the Rfam family "Bacterial large subunit ribosomal RNA", at positions 1 to 816 of the family's 2925-position model. RNAcentral also lists the same sequence under 4 other names. Lineage: Bacteria; Pseudomonadati; Pseudomonadota; Gammaproteobacteria; Enterobacterales; Enterobacteriaceae. The record is from RNAcentral.